Molecule: ribosomal RNA, 497 nt
Filed under: uncultured bacterium
Lineage: Bacteria
Description: partial 16S ribosomal RNA
Rfam family: Bacterial small subunit ribosomal RNA
Source: RNAcentral
GAUGAACGCUGGCGGCGUGCCUAAUACAUGCAAGUCGAGCGAACGGACGAGAAGCUUGCUUCUCUGAUGUUAGCGGCGGACGGGUGAGUAACACGUGGAUAACCUACCUAUAAGACUGGGAUAACUUCGGGAAACCGGAGCUAAUACCGGAUGAUAUUUUGAACCGCAUGGUUCAAAAGUGAAAGACGGUCUUGCUGUCACUUAUAGAUGGAUCCGCGCUGCAUUAGCUAGUUGGUAAUGUAACGGCUUACCAAGGCAACGAUGCAUAGCCGACCUGAGAGGGUGAUCGGCCACACUGGAACUGAGCCACGGUCCGGACUCCUACGGGAGGCAGCAGUAGGGAAUCUUCCGCAAUGGGCGAAAGCCUGACGGAGCAACGCCGCGUGAGUGAUGAAGGUCUUCGGAUCGUAAAACUCUGUUAUUAGGGAAGAACAUAUGUGUAAGUAACUGUGCACAUCUUGACGGUACCUAAUCAGAAAGCCACGGCUAACUACGUG